RNAcentral lists this long non-coding RNA (2262 nucleotides) under Mus musculus (house mouse). RNAcentral's name for it is "long non-coding RNA chrX:166813380-166815642". Lineage: Eukaryota; Metazoa; Chordata; Mammalia; Rodentia; Muridae. The record is from RNAcentral.
GUGAACUGGCCAAUAGCAUUUGAGGAGACAUAGGUGUAUGCCUUUCUAAAUUAAAGGAGGCUAGACAAGGCCUUUUCUUGUUAUUUUCCUUUGCUAGACAGGAGCUGUCUCUUCGGUGUAGUUCAGUAUGGUUUUGGUUUUGCUUUUUGUGCUUUUGGUGAAAUAUCCAAAAUUAUUAUCACCAGGAUCAAAGUUAUAGAGUUUUUUUUCCUCCUGUUUUCUCUUUUAGGAAAUCUGUGCUAUCCAAUCUUACAUUUAAGUCUUUAAUCCAUUUAAAGUUCUGUCCCUCAGCAGAGGAAUGGAUACAGAAAAUGUGGUGCAUUUACACAAAAUGGAGUCCUACUCAGCUAGUAAAAACAAUGCAUUUAUGAAAUUCUUGGGCAAAUGGAUGUAUAUGGAAGAUACCAUCCUGAGUGAGGUAACCCAAUCACAAAAUAAGUCACUUGAUAUGUACUCACUGAUAAGUGGAUAUUAGCCCAGAAACCUAGAAUACCCAAGAUACAAGAUACAAUUUGCAAAACACAUGAAACUCAAGAAGAACGGAGACCAAAGUGUGGACGGACACUUUGCCCCUUCUUAGAAUUGGGAACAAAACACCCAUGGAAGGAGUUACAGAGACAAAGUUCGGAGCUGAGAUGAAAGGAUGGACCAUCUAGAGACUGCAGCACCUAAGGAUCCAUCCCAUAAUCAGCCACCAAACAUAGACACUAUUGCAUACGCCAGCAAGAUUUUGCUUAAAGAACCCUGAUAUAGCUGUCUCUUGUGAGGCUUUGCCAGUGCCUGGCAAAUACAGAAUUGGAUGAUCACAGUCAUCUAUUGGAUGGAACACAGGGCCCUCAAUAUAGGAGCUAGAGAAAGUACCCAAGAGCUGAAGGGAUCUGCAACCCUAUAGGUGGAACAACAAUAUGAACUAACCAGUACCCCCAGAGCUCCUGUCUCUAGCUGCAUAUGUAGCAGAAGAUGGCCUAGUGGGCCAUCAUUGGGAAGAGAGGCCCCUUGGUCUAGCAAACUUUAUAUGCCCCAGUACAGGGGAAAGCCAGGGCCAAGAAGUGGGAGUGAGUGGGUAGGGGAGCAGGGUGGGUGGGAGGGUAUGGGGACUUUUGGGAUAGCAUUUGAAAUGUAAAUGAAGAAAAUAUCCAAUAAAAAGGGAACAAAAAGUUAUGUUUUGUUUAUGGUAUAUGAAUUCAAAAAGUAAUUCUUUUGAGUGUGGAUUAUCUAGUUACCCAACAGCAUAUAAAUGGUGUUCCUUAUGUAAUGUGUAUUCUUGGCACCUCUAUAAAAGUCUAGCUGAUCAUGAAUAGGUUCAUUUCUGGGUUCUAUUUUCUAUUCCAGUGAUCUAAGCUUGUUUCUAGAAUGGCAGAAGUAUCUCACCAAUGUCUGUACCCCCAUUUCCACUUAGGCAAUCUUACUAUAAACAUAAAUCUUCACUAAGAUAUAAAUGUAUGAAGAAAAUGAACCAUAUAUUCAUUGCACACAGUAGAUAUUAUUCAAUCACAAAAAAUAAUGAAAUCCUUCCAUGCAGGAGAACAUGGAUGAAUCUGGAUGAUAUUGUAAAUUAAAUAAUCUUGAUAUACAACAUACUAUAGGAUCACAUGUACAUCUGAAAUUUAAAACUGGUUGAAUUCAAAGUAAACAGUAACAGUGGUUGUCAGAGGCUUGGAGGUAGAGAAUAUGGGUACAUGGUGGCCACAAUUAUAAUACACUCUUGUUUAUUUUAAAUUUGCUAAGAGUAGAUCUUACUUGCCCUCACCACAUAUAAUUUUCCCCCAUUUCAUGCCAUAUACUAUAUCAAAUAAAUCAUUGUAUACCUUGAAUGUAUAUAAUUUGUCACUUAUACUAGCUUCAGUAAAGCUAGAAAAAAAAUCCUCUGAAUCACUUCAAAACAGAAGUAUGGAAUUGACCACCUAGGAAUAAUCAGCAGUAUUUUUCUGCUAGGCAGAAAUGCUAGACUUUAGAGUCUAGAUGGAUCAGGUUGGAUUCCAAACUGAUCAAGGCAUCCUACAGUCAUUAGUGAAGGUAUCCUAGAGUCAGUAGUGAGGAAAGACACUAUGCUGAGUCUAGUGGAAGUUCAGUGAAUUGCAAUUAGCUGUUAUCAGUGGCACAUCACAAACUAUAACUUGAUUUUUGAGAUAUCUCCAACAAGGUAAACGUUAAGAACAGGCUUACUGGACCAUGGCGGUAUUGGCCAUUGAAGUCAAUAGGAGUCAGCCAUCCUGAGUACUAAGGGAAGUUAGGUAGUCAUCAGAUGCUGGUGUCUGCCCU